GAUGAAGAACGUAGCGAAAUGCGAUAAGUAAUGUGAAUUGCAGAAUUCAGUGAAUCAUCGAAUCUUUGAACGCACAUUGCGCCCCCUGGUAUUCCGGGGGGCAUGCCUGUUCGAGCGUCAUUUCACCACUCAAGCCUCGCUUGGUAUUGGGCAACGCGGUCCGCCGCGUGCCUCAAAUCGACCGGCUGGGUCUUCUGUCCCCUAAGCGUUGUGGAAACUUUCGCUAAAGGGUGUUCGGGAGGCUACGCCGUAAAACAACCCCAUUUCUAAGGUUGACCUCGGAUCAGGUAGGGAUACCCGCUGAACUUAAGCAUAUCAAUAAGCGGAGGU
This 330-nucleotide unclassified non-coding RNA is filed under the name soil metagenome. RNAcentral's name for it is "partial contains 5.8S ribosomal RNA, internal transcribed spacer 2, and large subunit ribosomal RNA". The stretch from base 1 to 120 matches the Rfam family "5.8S ribosomal RNA", at positions 35 to 154 of the family's 154-position model. The record is from RNAcentral.